CCUACGGGAGGCAGCAGUGGGGAAUAUUGCACAAUGGGCGCAAGCCUGACCCAGCAACGCCGCGUGAGUGAUGAAGGCUUUCGGGUUGUAAAGCUCUUUUUUCAGGGACGAUACUGACGGUACUCGCUGAGGAAUCCACGGCUACUUACGUGCCAGCAGCCGCGGUAAUACGUAGGUGGCGAGCGUUGUCCGGAUUAACUGGGCGUUAUGGGGGCGUAGGCGGAGUUUUAAGUGAGAUGUGAAAGACUCGGGCUCAACUUGAGUGCUGCAUUUGAAACCGGAGGUCUUGAGUACUGGAGAGGAAGAUGGAAUUCCUAGUGUAGCGGUGAAAUGCGUAGAGAUUAGGAAGAACACCAGUGGCGAAGGCGGUUCGCUGGACUGUAACUGACGCUGAGGCUCGAAAGCGUGGGGAGCAAACAGGAUUAGAUACCCGGGUAGUC
Molecule: ribosomal RNA, 440 nt
Filed under: uncultured bacterium
Lineage: Bacteria
Description: partial 16S ribosomal RNA
Rfam family: Bacterial small subunit ribosomal RNA
Source: RNAcentral